AUGCUUGACCUCAAAUCAGGUAGGACUACCCGCUGAACUUAAGCAUAUCAAUAAGCGGAGGAAAAGAAACUAACAAGGAUUCCCCUAGUAACUGCGAGUGAAGCGGGAAAAGCUCAAAUUUAAAAUCUGGCGGUCUCUGGCCGUCCGAGUUGUAAUCUAGAGAAGUAAUGCCCGUGCUGGACCGUGUAUAAGUCUCCUGGGAUGGGGCGUCAUAGAGGGUGAGAAUCCCGUCUUUGACACGGACUACCAGUGCAUUGUGGUAUGCUCUCAAAGAGUCGAGUUGUUUGGGAAUGCAGCUCAAAAUGGGUGGUAAAUUCCAUCUAAAGCUAAAUAUUGGCGAGAGACCGAUAGCGAACAAGUACCGUGAGGGAAAGAUGAAAAGAACUUUGGAAAGAGAGUUAAACAGUACGUGAAAUUGCUGAAAGGGAAACGCUUGAAGUCAGUCGCGUUGGCCGGGGAUCAGCCUUGCUUUUGCAUGGUGUACUUUCUGGUUGACGGGUCAGCAUCAAUUUUGACCGCUGGAAAAAGACCUGUGGAAUGUGGCAGCUUCGGCUGUGUUAUAGCCCCUAGUCGCAUACAGUGGUUGGGAUUGAGGAACUCAGCACGCCGCAAGGCCGGGUUUCGACCACGUUCGUGCUUAGGAUGCUGGCAUAAUGGC
This 658-nucleotide ribosomal RNA is filed under the name Agaricus sp. GAL17755. Its description in RNAcentral is "eukaryotic LSU rRNA". It matches the Rfam family "Eukaryotic large subunit ribosomal RNA", at positions 1 to 638 of the family's 3401-position model. The record is from RNAcentral. Lineage: Eukaryota; Fungi; Basidiomycota; Agaricomycetes; Agaricales; Agaricaceae.